Molecule: ribosomal RNA, 497 nt
Filed under: uncultured bacterium
Lineage: Bacteria
Description: partial 16S ribosomal RNA
Rfam family: Bacterial small subunit ribosomal RNA
Source: RNAcentral
GAUGAACGCUGGCGGCAUGCCUAAUACAUGCAAGUCGAGCGGACGCAGGACGGUCGCGCUCCUGUUACGUGCGCGCCGGACGGGUGAGGAACACGCGUAUGCCCUUUAUAUAGGACUGGGGUAACGUCGGGGGACCGGAGAUAUUAUACGACGAUAUAUAGAACAGCAUGGUUCAUUAGUGAUUAACGGUUCUGCUGUCCCUUAUAGACGUAUGCGCGCUGGAUUAGUUAGUUGGUAAGGUAACGGCUUACCAAGGCAACGAUUCGUAGCUGAACUGAGAGGAUGAUCAGCCACACUGGAAGUGAGACACGGUCCAGACUCCUACGGGAGGCAGCAGUGGGGAAUCUUCCACAAUGGGCGAAAGCCUGACCGAGCCACGCCGCGUGGGUGAUGAAGGUCUUCGGAUCGUAAAACUCUGUUACUUGGGAAGAAGAAGAGUGUAAGGAACUCUGCCUGUGUUGACGGUACCUAAUGAAUAAGCACCGGCUAACUACGUG